RNAcentral lists this ribosomal RNA (497 nucleotides) under uncultured bacterium. RNAcentral describes it as "partial 16S ribosomal RNA". It matches the Rfam family "Bacterial small subunit ribosomal RNA", at positions 28 to 507 of the family's 1533-position model. The record is from RNAcentral.
GAUGAACGCUGGCGGCGUGCCUAAUACAUGCAAGUCGAGCGAACGGACGAGGCGCUUGCUUUUCUGAUGUUAGCGGAGGGCGGGUGAAUAACACGUGGAUAAUCUACCUAUAAGACUGGGAUAACUUCGGGAAACCGGAGCUAAUACCGGAUAAUAUUUUGAACCGCAUGGGUCAAAAGUGAAAGACGGUCUUGCUGUCACUUAUAGAUGCAUCCGCGCUGCAUUAGCUAGUUGGUAAGGUAAUGGCUUACCAAGGCAACUAUGCGUAGCCGACGUCAUGGGGGGAUAGCCGACAUUGGAGCGUGGACGCGGACCUGACUACUACGGGAGGCACCAGUAUGCUAUCGUACGCAAUGGGCGGAAGCCUUGCAGAGUGACGCCGCGUGUGAGAUGGAAGUCUUCCGAUCGUAAUGCUCUGUUACUAGGGAUAAACAGAUUUGGAAUGUACUGUGGCGUUCGUGACGGUAACGGAUCAGAAAGCCCCGGCUAACUACGUG